AACAAGUAUUUUGGAAAGGGGAUUCAAAAAAAAGUUAAGAAAAGAAUAGACCUGAGUUUAAAGAAGUUGAUUUCUUCAAGAAUGGGAACAUUUGGUAAAUAUUUGUUGGAAUCCAAUAGAAAAGGGGUGUGAUGAGAGUGGCAUAAACUUUGGGACUUGUGAAAAACCAUAGGGACCACUGAUGAUGAUGAUCCAUCUAGAGAGAUGUAUGUUUGGUUUAGAAACCUCUGCACCUUAUAGUCUCUCACAUUUGCUCUAUUGAUGAUGUCCACCACACCUACCUUAAAAAAAAACGCUUUCAUGGUCAUUCACGCAUUUGAUAUGAAUCCCACCAGAUAUCUUAGUUGGAUUAUAUUUGAAAAAUAUUUACUAUAAAUCGACAACUGCAAGUUAACUAAAAGUUGGAGUUUAUAAGGUAAAUAAAACCACCUAUAAUUUCCACCUGAUCCGAACCAAAAACUAAAAUCCAUUUCACAUUUCAAAGUGCCUCUGGGCGAAAGAGAGGGUUCCUCAUCGUCAAUCAAUCAUGUUCCUUUUAAAAGGCCCAAAUAGAUUUGCAGACCAAAGAAAGAAGCCACUUUCUUUGCAGAAACAAACAUCAACUUACUCUCCAUCAGCUAACGAACAAGAAAGAAGCACAAGGUAAGUGUUAAGUUUCUCGGUCCUGUCUAGAUCGGUGAUUUAUGGAUCUCAUAGAGAUUAGAUUAUUCCCUGCAGAAGCUAACCGCUUUUCGAAUCUGAUUGUUCCUAUUGAUUGUCUUCUCCUAGGUGGUUGGGAUCUAAAAGCUGAUGGCGAAGAUCAAGCCUCAAGCUCUAUUGCAGCAAAGCAAGAAGAAGAAAGGACCUGCUCCUAUUAGCAUAACCAGCAUCGUGAUUUACACCUUGGCCGUGCUUUUGGUCGUCUUCGUCCUCUUCUCCGCCUACAAACGUUGGACCCUCAGGUUCGGUUCUCUAUCAAAAUUCAGAUUUGAUUCUAUCACUAUUAGUUUAGAGAAAUUAUUCUAAGAUGUGAAAAAAUGACUUCUUGUGGGCUUACAGAUCUGAGAUCCCAACCCACAAUGGUAGAUCACUUCUUCAGGUUACUAUUAUUCUCUCUGUCUAUGUCUUCUCAUAGUUAUACCCCCCUCCUUUGUCAAAUGAUUGUCUUGUUGUUGUGUAGGAUCCAGCCUUCCCUGGAGUGAAGAAGAAUACUAAUCUCCCAUGGUUUGCUGUGAGUUUCAUUAUCAUCCCCCCAAUUAUAUUUAUACCCCUAUGUCUUCUCUUUGUUUUUUUCUGAAUCUUUUCCUCUCUGUUUGUUGAACUCUAGACCUUGGAUACUGGCAAAGGUUCAGUGACCAUUCAACUAUUCAAGGAUGCUGCUCCCAACGUUGUUGACGAAUUCAUCAACUUAUCGUAAGCAAUAACUUCACACUACUGUAUUUGCUUUGCCAUUUCUUUUUUAACACAAUGUUUUGUCAUUGGUAUUUGCAGUCAAGAUGGGUAUUUCAAAGGUUUCUCAUUCAGUAGAGUUGUAAAGCAUGCUGUGAUUCAAGCUGGCCACUCUGCUCAGUUCGAUGCUGUCAAAGAUUGGGCUCUCCAAAGGAAUAAUCUUCAUACCAGGUUUGCUGCUUACUACAUUGUUAGCAAAUAAAAUAUAUGGAGAAAAAGCUUUGGCUUUUUGGUUUCUGGCUGAUUAUGGGGAACUCUUUCUAUCAUCUGUCUUGAUGCAGUUUAAAACAAGAAGAAUACAUGGUGGGAACCCCUAAAGCUAAAAACGAGCAAGGAGGAUUUGAGUUUUUCAUUGUAUCUUCUCAGAUCACAGACCUCAAUGAGAAAUUGACAGUCUUUGGUCGAGUUGUGAAGGGACAAGACGUUGUUAAGGAGAUCGAGGAGGUUGAGAUAGAUGAGCAUUAUCAACCAAAAGCACCAAUCGAGAUCAUGUCCGUCACUUUGCUUCAAGACAUGUGAAACCUGCUUUAUUACUUCUUUGUAUUAAAAAAAAACUCCAAAGUGAUUCUUGAUGUAUUAAUGCUUUGUAAUUUGAAUACUUUCCAUCACCUCAUUUGCAACUUUGUGGUAACACAAGUUUUAAGUUUCUAUCUUCUGUAUAAUUCUCUCGUAGCUAGUAAACAACACGUGUGACAUUUAAAAGAUAUUCGAGAGCUAAAACAAAAAGGUAUCGCUAAUGUUUUUUACACAUGAUGAUACAAGGAGGAUACUGUAAAAAACACUUGAAAUCAACUAUCCCAACCAGAUCUCCUUUUCCUCUCUCUUGGCCGAUCUUCAGAACUGCAACAGUAGGGUCAAAUAAUGUCAGCCAACUCUAAAGAUUAUAAAUCAAACCUUACAAGAAAACAGUGCUGCAACUAAUAGGAAACAAACCUCUGUGUAUUCUUUUGACUCGAGUGAUGACUAGUUGCUACUGGGGGAGUUUGAGUUUGAGCUCUACCCAUGUCCCCACCAAUGGCCCCACCUGAGACAAAUCCCGUUAGGGCGGGUCUCUUGUUCGGAUAAGCUUGGUUUGAUGGCGUAGCAGCCACAAAGCUAUUCUUGAAUUGGGCCAUUACUCCGGUUCUCACAGAAUUGAUCACCCCUUUCUACUUGGUGCAGCUUGAGACGAUGGUGCUGUUCGUUUGGUUGCCGCAGGUACCGGCGGCAGCGGCAGCGUCAACAUUCGGCGUCAACUCUUGUUCGUUUCGUUGACGCAGGCAGCUGCGUCUGACGCUGCGUUCGAACGCCGCGUCCUGCGGCUGACGCCGAUAAAACCAGCGGUCGCGACAUAAAACCUGCGGCCAAUAAGGUAAUUUACUAUUUUACCCUUACUAUGUUUUAGUAUUUACAAAAAAACCUAAACCUAAAUUUGACGCAGUCGGGGAAAGUUUGACGCAGCUCCAUCUCUAUCUUUCUCUCUCGAUCUCCAUUCUAGAACCAGUGAAGACCUCGAGAGCUCUCUCCAUCUCGUGCUCUCUCCAUCUCAAGCUCUCUCUCUAUCUCGAGCUCCCUCUCUCUCUCUCCAUCUCGAGCUCUCUUCAUCUCGGGCUCUCUCUCCGUCACGAGCUGUCUCCAUCUCAGGCUCUCUGGCUCUCUCUCCGUCACGAUCUGUCUCCAUCUCGGGCUGUCUCUCUUCUCCGAAGAAAACCCAUCUCCGAUCUCAUCUCGAAGCUUUCUUCUCCGAGCUCAUCUCAUCUCCAAGCUCUCUCUUCUCCUUUUCUCGUUGAGGUACGUUUGAUGCUAGUGAAAUAGAGUUUCAACAUUCUGAUUAUUGAAUCUCUGAUGAUUGUUUGAUUCCAUUGCUGUAACUAGGAAUCAUAGUGAAAUAGGCCUAGCUGUAACUCCCUUUCUUUGCCUUCAUGGUUCCAUUGCUGGUCUGUUCUUUUAAUAUAAACGAUGGGUUGUCUUCUGAGUGUAGCUUUUGGGGUUUCUAAAUUUAAAGUGCAGGCUACAAAAACAUCCUAUUGUAGUUAGUACGUAUUGGUUUACGAGUCUGCACUCAUGGGGAAGCUUAAAGGGUUGCUAUAUGUAACUUCGAUAUGAAGUUCAUAUAUGCAUAUGUCGGUGUACCUGGUAGAGCACAUGAUACCAAAGUCUUGACUCAUUGUGCGAGAAACGAGGCUUCUUUUCCACAUCCUCCUCCCGGAAAGUAUUAUUUAGUUGACUCCGGAUAUCCGACCAGGACAGGGUAUCUUGGUCCGCAUCGUAAUAUGCGAUAUCAUCUUAGUCAGUUUGCUACAGGAGGACCACCAGUUAGUGCAAGAGAGAUAAAAUGGUGAUGAUGGAGAAGGAGAAGCUGAUAGUGACGGUGAUGAAGAAGAAGGUGACGAUGAUGAUGAUGAUGAAGAUGAUGUUGGUGUUGGAGGUGGUGGUGGUGGACAUAUUGUAUAUGAGCCGACAGGUGAUAGAGCGAUGGAAGAUUUGCGUGAUAACAUCACAAAUGAAUAUGGUAGAGGUCGUUUACCGUAUUAAAUGUUUUAGUUGAUGAUUUAAUUUUUUUUUUGCUUAUAACUUUGAUUGUCAUUUAAAUGUGAUAUUUAUUUAAGACUUGAUGUAAUAUUUAGCUUUUGUUUAUGAUAAAUAUUUUGAAUUAUUAUUUUGUUUCUAAUUUAGCUUAUGAUGUAUGAAAAAAAAUUGUUACAUUUGUAUAAUUUACAUUUGUAUAAUUGACCAAAAAAUUAUUAUCAAGUAAACAUAAUAUUUUAAUGGAUGUAAAUAUAUUUAAACUACACUUGAUUUAUUUAAAUACAAUUUUAUAAAAAAAUUAAAAUAAAUCUGAAAAAAUGAAAAUAGCCGCUGCGUCUGUCAAACGAACAACCCAAAAAUCUGCUUCCUGCGGCAGCGUCGGCGUCGAUCUCAACUUCUUGCGUCUUCUAAACGAACAAUAAUCUGCGGCAGCGGCAGCGUCGGCGUCAGCGUCUGCGAAACGAACAACAACUGUCUUCAUUGACGCUGCCGCUGCCGCCGACGCUGCCGCUGCCGCUGCCGCCGAAACCUGCGGCAACCAAACGAACAGGGCUUUUUUGUUGAUUGUUUCUCAGUGCCUCAGUGUUUAUUUGAUCACUUCCUUCGUCUUUCCUUUCAGGGUUCUGAUCAGCCUCUGAUUGUUAGAUUUGCAGACCCUAAAAAACCUCGUCUAGGGGAACCAAGGUUCUACUCUUUGCUUUUCCUUUUUUUUUUUAUGUUAUUUAUUUGAGGAUUUGCCUAGUUUUCUUUUGAAUUGCAAAGUCAUCUUCUUGGUUCUUACACUUUAAACUUACCGGUGUCACCCCCCUAUGGUUGUGUCACUUAGCUAUAGUUCUUGAAGGAUUUGCUUUCAAAAGUUUUGCAGUAGCACUAAUACAAUCCUGAUAUCACUCCAUCAUCUCAACAUUAUUUCAAUGGUUAUGUGUCUUCAGGUUUAACUUUAACGCUCCACCUGCAAUGCAACAAUACGACCCAAAUUGGCACCCACAACCAUAUCCCCAAUGGGGAAACAAUGAACAUGCAGCUCCUAGAUUCGUUGAUUUCGCUUCUCAGCCAAAUCACUUCCCGCAGCAAAAUGCUCAAGCAGUAUCCGAGUUUCAACAACCGCUGCAUCAGAAAUCUGAGACUGCCAGCGUGAAGGUACUCCUUUUGUAGUAGGAUCUUAUUGCUAAUGGUAGACGGAUAUUGAACUCUGGACCAUGAGUUUAUUUAUAUAGAGGGGUUUAGGUUUUCAUAAAUCUCUUAUUCACGCAUCUGCUUCAUCUUCAUAUCUAUAACUACUUUUGUGUAGACUAGAAGCGAUGGUCAGAAGAUUUCUAGUCGUUCAAAUGCCAUCCAUGAAGAUCAAAAUACAGAAGAAUGUGACUGGAGUGAGCACACUUGUCCUGAUGGGAACAAGUAUUAUUUCCAUUGUGUCACUUGUGAAAGCACGGUAAUACUUUUUUUCCCUCUUUCAUUGUGCACUCCACUCAAGCAAUUUGUCUAGUUAGUUAAAAUGAUUUAUAUGGAUGGAGCACACAGUGGGAGAAACCAGAGGAGUACUCCAUGUUUGAGAGAUGGUUCGACGAGCAAAUAAGGCUACAAGAUCAAAAUAUUGCCAAGAGCCAAGAUGCAAUAAAAAACACCCAGCAAGAUGAGUCUACUCUAUUGGAACAGACUACUAAACUCCAACAACAAUCCUUAUCCACAGCGGUUAGAUAUAUCAUUUCUUGACACACUUGGACUUCCAUAUAGUUAGUAUCUUCCUACAAGAAGAGUAGACUCCAUCCAAUCUUUCAUCUGAUGUGUGUGUUUCCAGGAUCAGGAGAACAAUUCAGUAUAUCCGGUAGUAACAAGAGUGAGUGGCUGUUGAAACGUCGUGUCCAUAAAAAUGUCUCAGGUAAUUAAUUGAACAGUUGAUUCUCUCUCUGUUUAUUAAAAGGACGUUAAAUACUACAUCUCACAAGAUCUUAUAUCAUCCUUCUUAUGUUUCAAUACAGGACAAGUCACUAAACAAGUAUUUUGGAAAGGGGAUUCAAAAAAAAGUUAAGAAAAGAAUAGACCUGAGUUUAAAGAAGUUGAUUUCUUCAAGAAUGGGAACAUUUGGUAAAUAUUUGUUGGAAUCCAAUAGAAAAGGGGUGUGAUGAGAGUGGCAUAAACUUUGGGACUUGUGAAAAACCAUAGGGACCACUGAUGAUGAUGAUCCAUCUAGAGAGAUGUAUGUUUGGUUUAGAAACCUCUGCACCUUAUAGUCUCUCACAUUUGCUCUAUUGAUGAUGUCCACCACACCUACCUUAAAAAAAAACGCUUUCAUGGUCAUUCACGCAUUUGAUAUGAAUCCCACCAGAUAUCUUAGUUGG
This 6275-nucleotide long non-coding RNA is filed under the name Brassica rapa (field mustard). Its description in RNAcentral is "long non-coding RNA (BRAP_LNC001920)". Lineage: Eukaryota; Viridiplantae; Streptophyta; Magnoliopsida; Brassicales; Brassicaceae. The record is from RNAcentral.